CCAAUAGCGUAUAUUAAAGUUGUUGCAGUUAAAAAGCUCGUAGUUGAAUUUCGAGAUCAAAUUGUUGGUCGUGCCUUGGUACGUACUGGCAUUAUUGGUUUCUCCCUUCUGACGAACCAAGAUGUCAUUAAUUUGGUGUCUUGGGGAAUCAGGACUGUUACCUUGAAAAAAUUAGAGUGUUUAAAGCAGGCUCGCGCUUGAAUACAUUAGCAUGGAAUAAUGAAAUAGGAGGUUUGAUUCUAUUUUGUUGGUUUUUAGGAUCGACGUAAUGAUUAAUAGGGAUAGUUGGGGGCAUUAGUAUUAAAUUGUCAGAGGUGAAAUUCUUGGAUUUAUUGAAGACUAACUACUGCGAAAGCAUUUGCCAAGAAUGUUUUCAUUAAUAAAGAACGAAAGUUAGGGGAUCGAAGACGAUCAGAUACCGUCGUAGUCUUAACCAUAAACUAUGCCGACUAGGGAUCGGAUGAUGUUAAUUUUUUAAUGACUCAUUCGGCGCCUUACG
RNAcentral lists this ribosomal RNA (499 nucleotides) under uncultured Glomeromycotina. RNAcentral's name for it is "partial small subunit ribosomal RNA". It matches the Rfam family "Eukaryotic small subunit ribosomal RNA", at positions 591 to 1092 of the family's 1831-position model. The record is from RNAcentral. Lineage: Eukaryota; Fungi; Glomeromycota.